CGCGGCCAAUCAAGGUUAAUGAGGGGAGUGAUACCCGGGCUCCUCCUCUCACUCAGGGCAUGGGAUCCUCAACUUCAUCUUAUCUGAGAGACUGUAUACUGACAGCCGGGGAGAGAGGGCACACAGCACACUGACAGCCAGCACUGGAGAGAGAGAGAGAGAGAGGGCACCCAGCCUGCUCCCUCACUGGGCACCAAACAGGGCAACCUGGCAACCUGCACCCUGACUGGGCAUCACAUAGGGCAACCUGGCAACCUGCUCCCUGACUGGGCACCACACAGGACAACCUGCUUUCUGACCAAACAGGGCAACCUGGCAACCUGCACCCUGACUGGGCAUCACAUAGGGCAACCUGGCAACCUGCUCCCUGACUGGGCACCACACAGGACAACCUGCUUUCUGACUUGGCACCACACAGGGCAACCUGCACAGGGCAUCAUAAUUGAAACAUACUUCUUGGGCUGUGCACUGGAGAGAGAGGGCACCCAGUCUGGGCAAGAUGCACCCUGUACUUGGCUUUGAAGAGUACACCCAGGCUUUGGACUAGAAAGAACUACACCCUGAGCUUGGCAUAGUCUGUGCGUACCCUGGUCCUGGCACUGGUCAGUACACAUCCUGCACCUAUUCUGUGCUGUAUCCCAACCAGUUGUUACAUAACUAUAUAUUGUGUGCCCAGCUAUGGCAGAUACCGUUUCAGGACAUUAUAUAGUGUGAAUCACCAGGAAAUAACAGCGAGAAAUUAUUCUGAACUAUACUGAGGACACCCAAUACCCAUCCUUGUCAUUAUCCACACUGCAUUUUAUUGGAUACUACAGAUACAUUGUAGCUGGGCACCAAGCACAAACAGUUGGCACCACUGUGAGUCCUCUCGAUAAUAUAUUAAAAUAUUUCCUGAGCUGUGUGAAGGCACUGGGCUGGACUUUACUCCAGAGGUAGCUGGCACUAGACAGUGGCUGGCAUCAGAUUAAUACCAGUGGAUUUCACAGAAAGGAUAAACACCUAACUUGUUACUUAACUAGCCACCCCUCUCGCUGGUGGCAUAUACUGAACUGGGUGCAGGUGAGGACACCCACCAUUAACCCCGUACUCCUAGCUGUGGGUAUGCCAUGGACGUUAUAGUUGAAAUGCCCCUGGACUGCAAAAUGGGGGAGCAGGAAGCCCCCCUUAUGUUUUGGGUGUCUGAGUCUGCUGGAGAGGUGAGAAAGUCCAAUAGAGUUUGAUUAAUUAGAACCACUGUUUAAUCUGAUAAUAACUAUCCACGCUUACCCAGGCUUAAUUUAAUAGGGGGAGGAAGCAUUCUGGGUCCCUAGAGUUGAUGUAGAAAGUGGUCGUGGUUUGUUAGGAAACACAAUGAUCUACACUAGUUAGUGGUUUUUAUGUCCCUGAUACGAGUGGGCGGGUGCAGUGUGGGAUCCUCUCUGUGGGGUCUCCAUCCAGCCUGGGAUACAGUGAGCAGGUGGGAUCCUCUUUGUAGGGUCUCCAUCCAGCCUGGGAUACAGCGAGUGGGGUUUCCAUCGAGUCUGGGGUACAGCGAGCACGUGGGAUCCUCUCUGUGGGGUCUCCAUCCAGUCUGGGAUACAGCGAGCGGGUGGGAUCCUCUCUUUGGGGUCUCCAAGUCUGGGAUGCAGCGAGUGGGUGGGAUCCUCUCUGUGGGGUCUCCAUCCAGCCUGGGAUACAGCGAACAGGUGGGAUCCUUUCUGUGGGGUCUCCAGUCUGGGAUACAGAGAGCGUGUGGGAUCCUCUCUGUGGGGUCUAGAUCCAGUCUGGGGUACAGCUAGCGUGUGGAAUCCUCUGUGUGGGGUCUCCAGUCUGGGAUACAGCGAAUGGGUGGGAUCCUCUUUGUGGGGUCUCUAUCCAGUCUGGGAUACAGCGAGCGGGUGGGGUCCUUUCUGUGGGGUCUCCAUCCAGUCUGUUUUACAGACUGGGGUCUCUGUGAGGUCUCCAUCCAGUCUGGGAUACAGCAAGCCAGUCUGGGGUCUGCAUCAAGUCUGGGUUACAGAGAGUGGGUGGGAUCCUCUCUGUGGGUUCUCCAUCCAGCCUAGGAUACAGCUAGCGGGUGGGAUCCUCUCUGUGGGUUCUCCAUCCAGCCUAGGAUACAGCUAGCGGGUGGGAUCCUCUCUGUGAGGUCUCUAUCCAGUCUGGGUUACAGAGAGUGGGUGGGAUCCUCUCUGUGGGUUCUCCAUCCAGCCUAGGAUACAGCUAGCGGGUGGGAUCCUCUCUGUAGGGUCUCCAUCCAGUCUGGGAUACAGCGAGUGGGUGGGAUCCUCUAUGUAGGAUCUCCAUCCAGUCUGGGAUACAGCGAGCGGGUGGGAUCCUCUCUGUAGGGUCUCCAUCCAGUCUGGGAUACAGCGAGCGGGUGGGAUCCUCUCUGUAGGGUCUCCAUCCAGUCUGGGAUACAGCGUGCGGGUGGGAUCCUCUCUGUAGGGUCUCCAUCCAGUCUGGGAUACAGCGUGCAGGUGGGAUCCUCUCUGUAGGGUCUCCAUCCAGUCUGGGUCACAUCGGGCGGGUGGGAUCCUCUCUGUAGGGUCUCCAUCCAGUCUGGGAUACAGUGAGUGGGUGGGAUCCUCUCUGUAGGGUCUCCAUCCAGUCUGGGAUACAGCGUGCGGGUGGGAUCCUCUCUGUAGGGUCUCCAUCCAGUCUGGGAUACAGUGAGUGGGUGGGAUCCUCUCUGUAGGGUCUCCAUCCAGUCUGGGAUACAGCGAGUGGGUGGGAUCCUCUCUGUAGGGUCUCCAUCCAGUCUGGGAUACAGCGAGCGGGUGGAAUCCUCUCUGUGGGGUCUCCAUCCAGCCAGGGAUACAGCAAACUCUGAUUAGUGUUUUCAUAACAAGGUACAGAAAUAGCUCCGGGCUGUGUCUGGUAAAUGGCAGAGAUUGGGCAUCACCCAUGUAAACACAGAUAACCCUUUCACUCUCCGCUCUGACCUUCAGCUUCCAUCUCAUCCACAGCAAAGCAGGGAAGGGGUUAAUUCCGACCUGCCCGGUUGAGUUGGAACCAAGUAAACUUAUUGCAGAAAAACAUUCUUAGAUUUUUAGAAAUUAAUCCUGGCGUUGGACAGAGUGCAGCAUUCAGCCAGGUAAGGGUUAACUAUAAAGGCAAUUCUGGAGCAAUCAGCAUGCACAGUGCAAAAGUUUCCAUGGCAACUGCCCUACUUUUAGAACUUUGUCCCAAAUUUGCUGGUUUACAUAACCUCCAAGGAGUUCAGAAAACUAGAAAAUAACAAAUUUUACCUCUAGGGGAGAAUAAACUCAGUGUUUGAUCUUAUAAAAAGGAUGUAUUUUCUCGUCUGCAUUUCAGUUUAAAACUCAUCUCCUUUUUCCAUGUUCUAGACAGGCUCCAAGUCGCACACAGUAGCAGGUGCGCAGUAUGUUACUGUGAGAAUUCCAGCCUGGGAUUUCCAUUCACAGAUCAGCCAUCAUUUUUAUUUAUCACAUGCUGUCAGACUAACAUAAACUUCCCGGCCUGUCUGUCAUAAUUAACGUUAAUUUAGGAACUGGCCGGACAUAUCUGUCAUACUUGGUGGAAUAAAAAUUAACUCCUAUCCCGACAAAUCUAUUUGUAAACCCCAACAUAUUGUGCAGCGCAGUACUAGGGGGCACAACGAGUACAAUUUAAUGCUAAGAACCAAUUUAAAGAUAAUCUGGCCAAGCAUGGUGAGUGUAGUAAUCCAAAAUCUGAAAUGUAAUGUUUCUGGAAGGUAAGAGCUAUCGAGGUGUGUUGCUAGCAGGUAAUAAAUCCUAUUUCUACAAAUUAUCUAUAUCUCUAUAAAUUAUUAUGAUGGCUAUGGUCACUGUAGGGUCAGAAGGUGGAGGAGAGUGGUACCUACCCAAUGGGAGUGCAAUUGAACAUGGCAGACAGCAAGUGCGAGGAAUUGAAGGGUUCACUCAUAUUCCUCCUAUAGACGUGUGUUUUUAGGGAUUUAAGGACUGGAGAGUGUGGAAGGUCUUGUGGGAACAGGUAUGUUAGAAUGAGGCGACUGUUGUGAAGAUGUAAGUAGGCACCCAACAAGAAUUGGCGGUAGUUUAAAGUUUUGAUUGUGAGAACUGGGAUUUUAUUUUAUUAAUCCACUGUUUUAUUUUAUAAUGCAACACAUUUAAUAAUAUUCAAUUGUACAAUCUCAGAUACUUCCUAGGUAGAUGAUAGUUACGUGUAUAAUACGUUAAUAGUGAAUAUUAAUUAAAGGGAAUCUGUCACUUCCCUUCAUUUAAAGGGACACUAUUGUCACCCAGACCACUUCAGCUCAAUGAAGUGGUUUGGGUGCCAGAUCCCUCAGGUUUUAACUCUUCAGAUGUAAACAUAGCAGGUUCAGAGAAACUGCUAUGUUUGCAUUUGGGGUUAAGCCAGCCUGUCUUCCGGACAGCCACUAGUGGUGCAUCUGCGACGCUGGAGGCAUAUUAUGCCUCGAUCGCGCAGAGCGUCCAUAGGAAAUCAUUGCGAAAUGCUUUCCUAUGGACACUUUGAAUGCGCACGUGGCACUUGCCGCGCAUGCGCAUUUGACUCCGCUGAUGUCGGAAGGGGGAGAAGAGGUCACCAGUGCCGAGGGAGCCCGGCGAUGGAUUAAGGUAUGCUGCUGAAGGGGUUUUAACCCUGAGGGUGGGGGCACCCUCAGGGCACUAUUGUGCCAGGAAAACCGCUUAGUUUUCCUGACACUAUAGUGAUCCUUUAAUAUUAUGUUUUCUUAUCCCCUAUAGUCAUAUUUCAUGUGUUUUCAAAUCUGUAAUCUUUACAUUUGAAUGUAGCAAUCCAAAUCGGUGUAUUUACCUCUGUCCUGUAACUCUACACCUUCAUCUUUGCUCUGUCAAUCCCUUUUGUUAUAAAUGUUGCCAUUUUCUGCCAUUGAACACAGUAAAUGGAAAUGGAUACACAGAAAAAAUUAUGUUUCUGUUCUCCUCCUCAUUUGCAUGAUGUGCCCUGGCUGUGCCUGGACUGGGCUGGAUGGUCACGUAUUUCAAGUUGUUCGAGCAUAACAUGAUAAAAUGUUUCUAGAGAAGAGAAGGAUCCUCUUUAAAGGAUUAUUCUAAGCACCAGAAUUACUAUAGCCCGCUGUGUUCAUUAUGAUGGUAGGCGUGUCCUGAAACGUUUCCCUGGUGAAGGGUCAAACCAUUUUGGAAUGGACAUCCCUGGUGGCAUGUGUCCGGUGUCUGCAGAGCGGCAGAAGCCGGAUACCGAUCCCAUCGCCCAUUCAUUGGUCGAGUCUAUGAGCUGACCACUGUCAGCCAAUGAAUGACAUUCUGUAAUUAGAAAUAUGCCCAAAAUUGAUGGUUGUGAAGGGAUUGACAAACACGUUAUACGCAGUGUCACAAGUGGUAGAAAGAUUUAGACCAAUAUGCAGAAAGAUAUGGCCACCGGAUUGCGUUUUGUUAUAGUAAGUGUCGCUACAGGUUGGAGCAGCUUUAGUCGUGUUUACAAAACAGAAAACAGAUUGAAGAGGAAAGAGUAAAGGCUUGGAACUGGGGGGUGCACCUCAGCCACUCGGGGCGUUUAAAGGUGAAAAGAGGUGCAUGUAUUCCACAUAUUUACCAAGAAGCCGGCUACAAAGUCAUUAUCGGAAUAAGAGCUCUCACUCUUAGACACCACAUAAAACAGUUGUCAUGUAUGGUGAACGCUCAUAAGUAGGAGUUGGGAGAAAGAUUUGUUAAAGAUGAAGUGCAUGUUUUAAAGAAUGUAAAGAAAAUACCAGAAAAGAGAGACAUUGAAGGUGGAACAGCAGUCAAUGAGAGGCUGAGCAACAUGUGAGGUUAGGUUAUGGAUGACUGGGUACAUCAAUAUGGAAAGAGAGCAGGCGACGCAUCCUCGUAUUCAUUGAAUGGGUCGAAAACAAGAACCAGUGGUGGAUGAGAGAGGGGGAUUUCUUCUUGUUGACUACAGGGUGAUGUGGAGAGUAGAAGAUACUGCAUAGGAGUUUGGGUUUGUGAGAAAAGGCUCUGUUGAGAGAAGCAAAGCUCGAAAAAAUAAUGUUUUACUCCACCAUACGUCCUUUGACAUACAUACCAAGGUAACCAUAUGAGAAUCAUGGGUGAUCCGUACAAUAAGAAGAAAGCCAUAUCUGAUAAAUAAAUGCAAUUCACUCAAGUUACAAACAGUGACGUUUCAGAGGGCUUAGCAGUUUGCCAGGUUUAAAUGAUAGGUAGGAGGUUAGGAGGUUUUAUUAAAUAGCAUCCCAUUCCUUGUUUUCUGUUUUGACCUGAUGUAGUAGCUGAACUCUUGUUGGCCCCCAGCUUCUGAGGAUGCCAGUCCUGCAUUUUGGCAGAUAGGGAGUAAUAACAGGGGGUAUUAAUGAAUAGAAAAUAAAGGAAGCCACAUGUUUAAUCAUGGAUUCUAGGACUUAAUACAUCUGAGAAUGGGGGACACAUGAUAAAUCAGGGGAUGAAUAUUCGUUGAGACAGUAAAAGCUUUACUAUGGUAAAGGAGAGAUGGCCUAACGCGUUUAAGCUGUCCCACAGCAGAACAAUGACAGCGACAAUUUCUUACAAAUCGUUUGUCACAUUGUCCUCUCUGGGAAACUAGAAAUAAACGAGCCCUUAUUUACAAUUAAAAUAAACACUUUCUGUUACUGGCUAUUCCGCUACAAAAUAUUAUUUUAAUCGUAAAAAUUCCAAGAUGAAAAUGGUUUCUUUCUUCCUCUUUUAUUUUUUAUUUUCACUAAACGAUCCGGAUAUUUUAACUCCUUACGGACCAGUUGCAUUUUUAUUGAUGACACAACCCGGUCCCUAAAGACAUGAUUUGAGCAUGAUACAAAAUAUCUCAAUAUAUUAUUUUAAGUGAUAUAAAAUAAGGUGCGUAGGUGCUUCCAUAUGAAUAGAAUAACAAAGGGGUAUCUAAGGUGUAUCCCCUAAUCACCUUUCACACCCCAAGGGAAAUGCACACAGGUAUACUUAAGUAUAUGUAAAAAUUCAGACAGAUCAGAUCUGAAAAAUAUAAGAACAAUAAUACAUAGUGCUUUCUGUUUACAUAUAAAACCAUAUACAAAACACCAGAGGAAUAACCCUCACACAGUAGAGAGCCAUACCAGGUUCUAUACAGAAGGCACCAGGGUGCCUAUACAAUCUAUAGUGUGUGCUCCUCGCAGAGCUGGUUCCAAGAGAAGGAGACGGACUUUCAAGUAGGUAGCAAGGCUUUAUUCAAGUAAAAUAUGUAGAGACAAAUUGCGUAGUGUAAAAGGAAAUAUAUAAAACCACUCAAUAUCAAACAAAAAAUAAUACAGAAUAUAUAUAGUCCCAAAGUGCAAAAAUGAGGCAGCAUACGCGUUUCGACUCUCCAAGAGUCUUCUUCAGUGCUGACUUGCCUCCUCGUGCCCAGCUGAUACCUUCCGGUACUGAUGGGAUUCGGAACACCUGAGUUCCGGGUUGAAGUCAUAUCCAGUAGGAUGUACUCCGUCAUCAGUAAGCCGGGGUCAUAGGGGAAGCCGACCUGUAUUUUAAGUACUUUUGUGAGUGCAAUAAUUACCAAUAUCCACUUUUUGGUGUCAUACAGACCAUAAUGUAGUAUAAACAGUUCAAUAUAUAUACACAUAUAUUAGUGUGAAUAUUCAACUCACAUAUUUCUGAGCCACAUAUUGUUGGCUCAGACUUUUAGGGCUUCUGUUUAGAUAUCCUUAUUGGUUUCUGAAAUUUUUUUGCCCAAAUGGUACACUCUCAGAAUUUUCUCAGUUGUUUGUAUGAAGAACAAAGAGCAGCAAACUAAAUGGUAACUACCUGCCAAAAGUGGUGCAAGGAAGGACAACCAGUGAACCGGCGUCAGGAUCAAGGACGGCCAAGACUCGUUGAUUAACGUGAUGAGCGAAUGCUAGCCUGUCUGGUCCGAUCACACAGAAGAGCUACUGUAGCUCAAAUUGCUGAAAAACUUAAAGGUACACUAUAGUGUUAGAAACAAACAUGUAUUCCAAAAACUAUAGUUACUUUUUAAUACUUAGAUUCCUGGCCUCCCUCCAAGUGCAUUAAAAGGUGAGCUUUACUUACCUUUUCUCCAUCGCUGCACUGGCCCUGCCUCCAUGAGAUCAUCAAUCUUGAUAAUCUCAGCCAGUUUAAUCCUUUUUUAUAGAAAGGUAUUGAGCAGACCAGUCAUAGUGCCCAUGAUGACCCCUGUUCACAACGUAAAUGUUUUCAAUGGAGAUGUAGUGCUUCUGGUGACUAUAGUGUCCCAUGAUAGAAAAGUGUCAGAACACACAAUACAUCGCAGUUUGCUACAUAUGGUCAGAGAGCCCAUGGUUACCCCUGUACAUACCUGUAAGUGCCUUCAAUGUGGAUGUGAGAGUCAGUACUGGACCAUGGAGCAAUGGAAGAAGGUUGCCUGGCCUAAUGAAUUAUGUUUUCUUUUAGAUCAGGAGGUUGGCAGAGUGCAUGUGAGUCCUUUACCUGGGGAAGAGAUGGCAGCAGGAAGCACUAUAGGAAGAGGGCAGGCUGGUGGAGGCGGUGUUAUGCUCUGGGCAAUGUUCUGCUGGGAAACCUUGGAUCCUGGCAUUCAUGUUACUUUGACACGUACCUCAUACAUAGAGAUUGUUGCAGACCAUGUACACCACUUCAUGGCAAUGGUGUUCCCUGAUGGCAGUGUCCUAUUUCAGCAGGAUAAUGCACCGUGCCGCACUGCAAAAAGUGUUCAGGAAUGGUUUGAGGAACAUGACAAAGAGUUCAAGGUGUUCAAUUUUCCUCCAAAUUCCUCAUAUCUCAAUCCGAUCCGAUCCACUAAACACCAACAAUUGACAAACAGGACUAUACAUAGGACACGAGGUCAUGCGUUUAGACUGGGAAAAAGAAGACUUAGUCUAAAUUAAAGGAAUGGUUUUUUUUACCGUAAGAACAAUAAGGAUGUGGAAUUCUCUACCUGAAGAAUUAGUUUUAUCAGAGCCCGUACAGAUGCUUAAACAAGAAAUAGAUGCAUACUUGCGAAAACAUAAUAUUCAAUUAUAUAUUUUUUUCAGCUGUAGGGUAAUAGCUUAUUGAUCCAAGGAAUAAUCUGACUGCCAUUCUGGGGUCAAGAGGGAAUUUUUUCCUAGUUUGUUGCAAAAUUGGAAGUGCUUCAAACGUUAUUUUGGGGGUUUUUGCCUUCUUUUGGAUCAACAGCAAAAAACAAAUGCAAGGAAGGUUGAACUUGAUAGACACAUGUCUCUUAUCAGCCGAUGUAACUAUGUAAUCUCUCAAUUUGCAGGAUCUGUCUUGAUGCCAGAUACCAUAGGACAUGUUCAGUGAUCUUGGGGAGUCCAUGACUUGACACAUCAAAACUGUUUAGGCAGUUUAAUGAGGACCUACACAAUAUUAGGCAGAUGGUUUUAAUGUUGUGGCUGAUCAAUGUGUGGGCAUGUGUGUGUGUGUAUAUAAUAGACCCUCUUUGAAUUCUAUGGUUAUAUAUAUCAGGACAUAAUAACAAUUGUCUGAUCCUUUGGUAAAUACGACCUCAGAUGAACAACAACUCAUGUAUUUAGAUGUAUUUAUAUAUUUUAGAAAAAUAGAGCCAAAAUGGGUGUGAGAAACCAAGUACACCUUGUUAUUUGUCAGGAUCGUGACAGGGAUCCAACUCGCAGAAUGCAGACAGGACAAGGUACGUAUACCGGACCUUAGAAUGGCCGGACUAACGUGUAGAGGAGACAAAGAAUGGUCAAAAGACAAGCCGAGGUCUAGGGAACUGGAGGACAGGUAAGCGAGAGACAAGCCGGGUCAAAGGGUAGGAGAAGGUAGCAACAACGAUGAUAGAAAGCCAAGUCAAAACCAAAUAAUCACAAGGAACCAAAAGCACUGAGUGACCAGCCAAGCUAGAACCAUGACAGGGCAAUGAGUUAUUGCAAAUGAUUCCUUUUUAUACCUUGGCUCCUUAAUUGGUGACCACGCCUCCAGAUUAGUGGUUUCUGGCAAUCCGUGACGUCAAUGACGUCAUGACAUCGGCUAUUGGGCGUCGCUUCAUAAAAGGGGGCGGAGCUAUCGCGCCGGCGUGUAAACAGCCGAAAAUGCAGAAAUGACCGGGAGUACAAGCCCCCAUGUGGGGGACCAUGUCCUGAUGCCUGACCUCCUCUGAGGUGGAUAUUACAGGUACCAUGACAUUAUUAAAUCACUUGUAGAACCUUCUUUAGCAGCUAUAACUUGAAGUAUUUGUUUUCUAUCUGACUUGAUUAGUCUCCCACAUCAUUGUGGAGUAAUUUUGACCUACUCUUCUUUACAACGUUGCUUCAGUUCAUUGAGGUUUGCUGGUAUUUGUUUAUGCACAGCUCGCUUAAUGUCCCGCCACAACAUUCCAAUCAGGUUGAGGUCUGGACUCUGACUGGGCCAUUGCAACACCUUGCUUCUUUUAUUUUUUACCAGUUCUGUUGUAGAUUUGCUGGAGUCAUUGUGAUUAUUCUCCUGUUGCAUGACCCAAUUUUGGCCAAGCCUUAGCUGUCGGACAGAUGGCAUCACAUUUGACUCAAGUAUACUUUGGUAUGCAGAAGAGUUCAUGGUUGAUGUAAUAACUGCAAGGUUCCCAGGUCCUGUGGCUGCAAAGAAGCCCAAAUCAUCAUGCCUCCACCACUGUGUUUGACGAUUAAUAUGAGAUGUUUGUGCUGAUAUGCUGUUUAGUUUUUGCCAAAUGUGGCGCUGUGCAUUAUGGCCAAACAUCUCCACUUUGGUUUCGUCUAUCCAAGGACAUUAUUAUAGAAGUCUUGUGAUUUGUUCAGAUGCAACUUUGUAAACCUAAGCCGUGCUGCCAUGUGUUUUUAGCGAGAAGAGGUUUUCUCCUGGUAACCCUUCCAAACAAACCAUACUUGUUCAGUCUUUUUCUAAUUGUGCUGUCAUGACCUUUGCUUCUCUAAGAUCACUGCUGAUAUCGUUCCUCCUUGGCUCCUUGGUGGUAACACACCUGAAUGCUCCAGACCAGCAAACUGCUAAAGCUUGGGCUUUUAUAGAGGUGGUCACACUUGCUGAUGAUCAAUUAAUAAAUGGUAUUUGAUUUGCAGCAACUGUCUGCUACUUAGCCUCUUAAUUCCUAUCGAAGACGUAAGGGUGUACUUAGUUUUCACACAUGGCUUCUCCAUUUUGGCUUUAUUUAUGUUAAAUCACAACACGUAAUAAUGUGUUGUUCAUCGGAGGUUGUAUUUAUCUUAUUUGAAGAUCUGCUAAGGAACAGUUGAUUGCUAUUAUGUCCUGAUAUGAAAAACGUGUGGUGUGUUACUGCUCUGUGUGAUGUAUUGUUGCCCCAUGUGGUGAGUUAUUGCUCUGUGUGAUGUAUUGUUGCCCCAUGUGGUGUGUUAUUGCUCUGUGUGGCCAGUUUUGUCCUGUAUGAUGCAGAAUUUGUUAUUGAUAGACCUGGACCAGACUUUGAUGUUUGUCCUGAAGGCCAGUAAUGCCGUGACAAUGACUCUAUUAAUAUGUAUUGGUCAUUAGCAUUCCGGACUCUGCAGAUAACGGAUUGUCUCAUUCUGUGGAUAGUUCUGCCCAUUGUAGGACUAAGAAUGGGGUGACACGUACAGAAUUCAGAGCAGGAUUCACUGUGUCUGACUCCUGUCUUUUUAUAACAUUAAACUAGACUGCUGCAUUGAUUUAUUUUUCCAUUCUGGGAAACCCUGAAUGUCAUCAAUCAUCUGCUUGUAUGUAUCAAAUGGACAAUGUCCUUGUCACGGAGCAGGGACUUUGCUGUGAAACUUGUGUGGUCAAUUUAGUUAAGGUGGUCACUGGAGUAGAUAAGCUAAAAAACAUUAUCUUUAAUUAGAAAUGCCACUUACUCAGAUUUCUAACUGGCAGUAAUUAAACGAUGGAGAAAUUAGAAGUAAUGGUUGGUUAUCUAGAUCUCUUGUCAUAUUCUGUAAACCAACAUCAAAAUAAUUAAGGCCUCAAUUUGACCCCUGUGCUUCACUAAGUCUGCCUUAAUCAGGUAUUUGUGGGCCACGUUUCUACACAAGGCUAAUCAUUGCUGGGGUCCAUGAGGUAUCCUAUCACACACUGCAUGAGCAUUCGUAAGGUCUCUAUGCGAAUUAAACAUUUUUGGGACAUUGUCUCGCUUCGUUUUGCUCUCUGCAUGGCUAUAUGGAGAAGGCUCUCAGCUGAUCACUGUGAACCCAUUGAGAGACAUUUUUAUUAUUAUUAUUAUUGGCAUUAUAAAGCAUCAUUUAUUCCAUAGUGCUUAACAUGUACUGUUAUUUUUUCAGCUCUAAUACUGUAUUAAAGGCAAGAAGACUCCUGGACAGUAAGACAGGAUGCUCCCGCUAACUUCAAUGAGUUUUAGUUGUUAUGGUAAAGGGACUGCUAAAACAUUACUAAGUUAAUGUAGGUUUCACGCGUUGCCUUCCAGUCUGUAUUAGUUGAUGUCCAUGUGCAGUGAGGGGGAAAAAAAAGUAUUUGAUCCCCUGCUGAUUUUGAACAUUUGCCCACUGUCAAAGAAAUGAUCAGUCUAUAAUUUAAUGGUAGGUGUAUUUUAACAGUGAGAGACAGAAUAACAACAACAAAAGAAUCCAGAAAAACGCAUGUCAAAAAGUUAUAAAUUGAUUUGCAUGUCAAUGAGUGAAAUAAGUAUUUGAUCCUCUAUCAAUCAGCAAGAUUUCCGGCUCCCAGGUGUUUUUUAUACAGGUAAUGAGCGGAGAUAAAAAGCACUUUCCAAAUCUCAGCUUGUUACCUGUAUAAAAGACACCUGUCUCCAAAAGCAAUCAAUCAGAUUCCAAAAGCAAUCAAUCAGAUUCCAAACUCGCCAAGACCAAAGAACUGUCCAAGGAUGUCAGGGACAAGAUUGAGAAGUGCUCAUGCCAUUGUACAGAACACUGGUGAGACCUCACUUGGAGUAUUGUACGCAGUACUGGAGACCGUAUCUUCAGAAGGAUAUUGAUACCUUAGAGAGGGUUCAGAGAAGGGCUACUAAACUGGUUUAUGGAUUGCGGGAUAAAACUUACCAGGAAAGGUUAAAGGGUCUUAACAUGUAUAGCUUGGAGGAAAGACGAGACAGGGGGAAUAUGAUAGAAACAUUUAAAUACAUAAAGGGAAUCAACACAGUAAAGGAGGAGACUAUAUUUAAAAGAAGGAGAACUACCACAACAAGAGGACAUAGUCUUAAAUUAGAGGGACAAAGGUUUAAAAAUAAUAUCAGGAAGUAUUACUUUACUGAGAUGGUAGUGGAUGCAUGGAAUAGCCUUCCAGCUGAAGUGGUAGAGGUUAACACAGUGAGGGAGUUUAAGCUUACGUGGGAUAGACAUAAGGCUAUCCUAACUGUAAGAUAAGACCAGGGACUAAUUAAAAGUAUUUUGAAAUAUUGGGCUAGAUGGGCCGAAUGGUUCUUAUCUGCCGUCACGUUCUAUUGUAGAUCUACACAAGGCUGGAAUUGGCUACAAGACCAUCGCCAAGCAGCUUGGUGAGAAGGUGACAACAGUUGGUGCGAUUAUUCGCAAAUGGAAGAAACACAAAAUAACUGUUAGUCUCCCUCAGUCUGGUGCUCCAUACAAGAUCUCACCUCAUGGAGUUUCAAUGAUCAUGAGAACGGUAAGGAAUCAGCCCAGAACAACACGGGAGGAUCUUGUUAAUGAUCUCAAGGCAGCUGGGACCAUAGUCACCAAGAAAACAAUUGGUAACACACUAUGCCGUGAAGGACUGAAAUCCUGCUGCGCCCGCCAGAUACCCCUGCUUAAGAAAGUACAUGUACAGGCCCAUCUGAUGUUUGCCAAUUAACAUCUGAAUGAGUCAGAGGAGAACUGGGUGAAAGUGUUGUGGUCAGAUGAGACCAAAAUCUUUGGCAUCAACUCAACUCGCUGUGUUUAUAGGAGCAGGAAUGCUGCCUAUGACCGCAAGAACACCACCCCCACCGGAAACAUUAUGCUUUGGGGGUGUUUUUCUGCUAAGGGGACAGAAUAACUGCACUGCAUCAAAGGGACUAUGGACGGGGCCAUGUACCAUGAAAUCUUGGGUGAGAACCUCCUUCCCUCAGCCAGGGUAUUGAUGGGUCAUGGUUGGGUAUUCCAGCAUGACAAUGACCCAAAACACACAGCCAAGGCAACAAAGGAGUGGCUCAAGAAGAAGCACAUUAAGGUCCUGAAAUGGCCUAACCAGUCUCCAGACCUUAAUCCCAAAGAAAAUCUGUGGAGGGAGCUGAAGGUUCGAGUUGCUAAACAUCAGCAUCGAAACCUUAAUGACUUGGAGAGGAUCUGCAAAGAGGAGUGGGACAAAAUCCCUCCAGAGAUGUGUGCAAACCUGGUGGCCAACUACAAGAUUCGUCUGACCUCUGUGAUUACAAACAAGGGUUUUGCCACCAAGUACUAAGUUGAAGGGGUGAAAUACUUAUUUCAUUCAUUGACAUGCAAAUCAAUUCAUAACUUUUUUGACAUUUUUUUUGUUUUGUUAUUCUGUCUCUAACUGUUAAAAUGCACCUACCAUUAAAAUUAUAGACUGAUCAUUUCUUUGUCAGUGGGCAGGGGAUCAAAUACUUUUUUCCCUAACUGUAUGAUCCAGUCUUCGUGAUGUCCAUCACUUGGAGCCCAGAUCACAUCUCUCUUAUACUUCCUAGUCUGUCACUGACUUUGCCCUAAUUCUGGAAAGAUAAAAACUGAACCCUGUGAAACAUGCUUCACUACUCUGUGUGACAUUAGAUGGAUUAAUAAUGUCCCCAACUUUAUCUAAUCCUGGUCCUGUAUAAUGAUGGACAUCCCAAAUACUGUAUCACCUCAUAGUCUCAUUUUCAGUAUUUUGCCCCCUGUCUACCAGCCUGCUCCCCAGAAUAGAAAAAGAGGAAUUGGGGGGUGUAGCGGACCCUGGGUAACCCGGCUGGUUACCUCCACUAUUUAUCAAUUAACAGACCCAUUUCCCUCCCUGUAACUGGACGACACACAGUUCCAGGGGGUACAACAACAACUUUAUUGGCCACAUGCGGCUUUAUACUUUCCCCAUGCAAGGGGUGGGACACACAUGAAGUCAAUGUCCCCUCCCAGGUCGGGGUUCGUAUAAUAGAACCGGAACCCCAGUCCCUUUGUCCCCUGUUCCCGCCACUCAGUGUCCCAGGUCUGGGGGGGGGUUGUAGCGCGGGAAACCUCCCGCCUCUUUACCUCCCAACCACAGAGAGCCAGCCAACCUCCAUCAUUGUCCCCACAGGAUGUCCCCACCAAUCUCAGGGACCCCCAAUCUUCAUUCGCGGGGUACCUGUGUGAAGCCCGGCAAGGGAAGUGUCUCUUUCAGGAUGUGAAUGCUCCCCAUGGCCGGUUUAUGAACGGCGUCCACCCAGAGCAGCACUCUUUAAUUACUUCCCUUGCAGUUUCACACUAUGUUGCAAGUUGCCAAUGUUCCAGUUGAUUGGUGUGAACAUUCUAAUGGGUGCCGGGGAGGUCCUCAUUUGGGAACCGAACAAGGUGGGAAGCAGUCCGCGAAUGCUCCCCCUGGAUGGCAUUCGUCUAAUGAAUGGGUUGCCACCCAGGGUCGGCACCCGCCGAUGCUUCACUUGUGGUUUUGAGUAGGAAGUAGGAAGUAGGAGUAGGAAGUUCUACAAAACACAGGGUCAAGCUAGGGGAAACACACGAAAGGGAUGUCAGUACAGCAACACACAAUUUAACGGCGGGGGCACAGGGUACAGGGGGCACACCUGGAACAAACAUUUCUCAGCAGUUGUAUUGAUGGCUCGGGGGUUAAAAUGUCUGUCAGGCUGUCCUUGCAGGAGAAAUUUCCUAUAUCCAAUAUAAGCUAACCCUGUAGACUGAUUCCCCAAGAUUUAGAGUUUAUUAAACACGGCCCUGGACACCCUUGCUUUUGCUUUUUCCUACUGAUGGCACGCAGCAUUAAGACGUCAUAAAUUUGUGUCCUUGUCAUCAGUCUUACAGCUAAAAUUAUCACAAGGGUGCCAUACCACCAAUAUGUCAAACUGACAAAGAGGGACACUGAAGGUGUGGCCAUGGGCGGGGCUGUUUUGAGUGUGAUUUGGGGUGUGGCCAUAGGCAGGGAUGUUCUAAGUGUGAGUGGGGUUGAGGCCCGUGGCCAGCGGUUUGGGGGUAGUUCUGAAUGUGAGUGGGUGUGUGGCUGUUAUGAGAAAUUUUAGGCGACUUUCUAAUAACAAUUUCUUGAACUAAAAUGUAAUUUAGAAGAAGAGCAAUAUAUCUUAUUUCCAUAGACUAAUUUCUAAACACACAAUACACAUUACUGAGAGUAUUAUUACUGUGAAGCUCUGUUAUACAUUCAGACACAUUAUUGGGAGUAUUAUUGCUGUGGGGCUCUGUUAUACACUCACAUUACUGGAAGUAUUAUUGCUGUGGGCCUCUGUUAUACACUCAGACACAUUACUGGGAGUAUUAUUACUGUGGAGCUCUGUUAUACACUCAGACACAUUACUGAGAGUAUUAUUGCUGUGGAGCUCUGUUAUACAAUCAGACACAUUACUGGGAGUAUUAUUGCUGUGGGGCUCUGUUAUACACUCAGACACAUUACUGUGAGUAUUAUUGCUGUGGAGCUCUGUUAUACACUCAGACACAUUACUGAGAGUAUUAUUACUAUGGAGCUCUGUUAUACACACAGACACAUUACUGAGAGUAUUAUUGCUGUGGAGCUCUGUUAUACACUCAGACACAUUACUGGGAGUAUUAUUGCUGUGGAGCUCUGUUAUACACUCAGACACAUUACUGGGAGUAUUAUUGCUGUGGAGGUCUGUUAUACACUCAGACACAUUACUGAGAGUAUUAUUGCUGUGGAGCUCUGUUAUACACUCAGACACAUUACUGGGAGUAUUAUUGCUGUGGAGCUCUGUUACACCUCUGUUACACACUCAGACAUACCAUUAAUAUGGAGCUCCUAGAAAAGAGGGAGAUUAGGGUAAAAAAGAAAACCAUGGAUUUGUGCCUGGUGUAGGGACUGUAUCUCCUAAGUAGGGACACUUAAGAGGUAGUGGUGUGAUUUUUACAAGUCACUACGAGAAACCAAUCUCGUUUGUAUUGUAUUGAUGUCCCUUCACACUAACUUUAUAUCAUUUUUCUGUUUUGUAGCAGUAACGGAAUAACGUGCAUUUAGUAAUCUCGUCAACACUGUGUCAGCUUUUUACAGAAAUCGUUUUAAAUACUUUGCGGGAUAAUGGGCGCAUGUCACAUUUAUUUAACAUCACUUGUAAUAAGGUGAUAAUCUGCGGUUUGACGGCCGGCUUGCUGCCCACUCUGGAACUUGUUUUAGGCUGAGGAACUGUUCCCCCCCAGGGAUUUAAUAGCUUGCUGCAGCCUCUAUUAAUAGAAUUAUAAACAAGUUUCAAACAUGGUUAUUCUGGCAUUAAAGCAUCUCAGAGCGUGAUCAAUGAAAUAUUGCCUAACGAUAAAGGUAAUUGAUUAGAGUAAUAAAUCAAAUUGGAAAUCUAGCAUUUACACAGUAAUCACAUGUGGCAGCCGGUGCAGACAAAACAAAAUGUGGCUAAUUAUGAUAUUUUCGCCUCCAGCAUUUCAAUUUGUCCCUUUUAAGGAUUUCAUCCAGUCGAGGGAUGUUUUGUCUGGCAGCUGUCAGCAUUGGCAAGCUAUUUCUCCUCACCUUAUUACAAGUGAUGUUAAAUAUUAAAUAAAUAUGUCAUGCGCCCAUUAUACUGAAAUUGAUACAUCGACAGGCCUACAAAAAUACAGAUUUGGCUUGUUCUUGGCAAUCAGGGCAGUAUAGAGAACCGGUCUAUGGAGUGAGGGUACCAAUUCCGAACAUGUUUGCUUGUUCUAAGUACUGUCUCACCUACACAAUAAAUGGGGGAUGGAAUUCUGGUCAGUAUUUUUCCACUGAGGUGUAAUUUUCUGUUAAAUUUGGAUUCUAUAAUAUUGCAUAACAUGAUAACCACCGUUAUAGCUGUGUACAUAUAAUCAGGGUCCCCAGAUAGGUGACUGCGCCAGACUUACCACCCCCGAUAUCAUGUACUAUGUGAUCUAUGCUUGCACCGUAGGUGUGGGUAGCACACUGCAGCUUAAUACAGAGUAGAUUUACAUCAUUAUUGAAGAGGAAAGGACACUAAUUCAGUUUUAGCACAACUGAAAGCUAGCUACGGCUGUGCCAAAAUGAUUUUAAAAUUCUCUAUACAGUAUGUCAUUUCCAUUUAUAUGCAUUGACUGGCAAAGCCCAGCAGUUCUGGACGCCUGACGCUGCAUCACAAUUGUAACAUUGCAGAAGUUUUCCUUUUCCCCCACAGUCAGGGACAGAUUAAAGGGACACUAUAGUCACCUGAACAACUUUAGCUUAAUGAAGCAGUUUUGGUGUAUAGAACAUGCCCCUGCAGCCUCACUGCUCAAUCCUCUGCCAUUUAGGAGUUAAAUCCCUUUGUUUAUGAACCCUAGUCACACCUCCCUGCAUGUGACUUGCACAGCCUUCCAUAAAUACUUCCUGUAAAGAGAGCCCUAUUUAGGCUUUCUUUAUUGCAAGUUCUGUUUAAUUAAGAUUUUCUUAUCCCCUGCUAUGUUAAUAGCUGGCUAGACCCUGCAAGAGCCUCCUGUAUGUGAUUAAAGUUCAAUUUAGAGAUUGAGAUACAAUUAUUUAAGGUAAAUUACAUCUGUUUGAAAGUGAAACCAGUUUUUUUUUUUCAUGCAGGCUGUGUCAAUCAUAGCCAGGGGAGGUGUGACUAGGGCUGCAUAAACAGAAACAAAGUGAUUUAACUCCUAAAUGACAGUGAAUUGAGCAGUGAAAUUGCAGGGGAAUGAUCUAUACACUAAAACUGCUUCAUUUAGCUUUAAGUAAUUUAGGUGACUAUAGUGUUCCUUUUAACAUAGGGGCUGAUGGAGCUGCUGCUCCAGGCCCAAGUCCAUGGAAUAGGCCCAUUUAAAAAAAAUUAUUUACCACACUACUUUUAGGGUUGCCAGAUAUUUCUCAGAAGUAUUUCUCAGAUAUUUGAGGCUGCCUAGCCGGUGCCGGUAUUGCAGUAAUACCGGCAAUACAAAUGUCAGUCUCAGUAUAAACAGAGAUUAUUUUGGAAUUAUUCUGGAAUAGCGCCGGCCAGGGGUCGCUGUGUGAGUGGAGAGAGGCAGGGAUAAGAAGUUACAGCAUCUCCCUCCCUGCCCUCACUACUCACUGAUCUGAGGGGAAGCAGCUCUGCACAGAGAGUCCAGACAGCAGCUCCCAGUCUACAGAGACAGCCUACAGCUCAGGUAAGUGAGGGGUGGGGGGGGAAGGCGGCAGGGAGACACAGACACUAGGGGACACUGGCAGACAUAGGGACACUGUGACACUAGGGGACAAUGUGACACUCGGGGAAACUGGGACACUAGGGGGCACUGGGAGACCUGGGGACACAGACACUAGGGGAAACUAUGAUGGGGACGGUGAGAGACAUGGGGACACUGAGACACUGGGGGACACAGGGAGACAUGGGGACACUGGGCAACUUUGAGACCUGGGAGACAUGGGGCACUCCCAGUGUCCCCAUGUCUCCCAGCCAGUGUCCCUAGUAUCUCAGUGCAGUGGCGUACUAAAGGGGGGGGGCGGAGGGGGCUGUCCGCCCCGGGAGCCAGCAGGGUGGGAGGUGCCAUGACCAGCCCCGCGGCCCCCCCAUGCUGCAGCCGCCUGAGCACUCUGUAGAGAGCCUCAGGCGGCUGCAGCUUUGCCCGGGCGGUGCGUCCAUGAGGGCGGACCGCACCGCCCGGGCGCAACCUGAGGAGAGGCUGACAGGAGGGAAGCGUUCAGCGCUCCCUCCUGUCAGCUUCUUUUGCUGUAGCGUGGCCGAGCCCUGCAGCAUGAUGGUCCGCGGGUACAGAGAGCAGCUGUCUCCUGUACCCGGCCGGACUACAGCAAAGGUAGGGGGGGUGGGCUCGGCCACGCUACAGCAAAGGUAGAGGGGAGGGGGNNNNNNNNNNNNNNNNNNNNNNNNNNNNNNNNNNNNNNNNNNNNNNNNNNNNNNNNNNNNNNNNNNNNNNNNNNNNNNNNNNNNNNNNNNNNNNNNNNNNGCUGUGUGAGCUGUGGCCGCACAGUGUCCCAUGGUAGUUAGGGUGCCGUGCGGCCAGUACAGCUCACACAAGCAAACAGCUGAAAAACUGGCCGCACGGAGGAAAUGUGUAUGUGUGACUGUCUGCCUGUGACUGUGUGUGACUGUCUGCCUGUAACCAGGGCCGGAUUAACAUAGGGGCUGAUGGAGCUGCAGCUCCAGGCCCAGGCCCAGGCCCAUGGAAUUGGCCCAUUGUAAAAAAAAAAUUGUUUUUUACUUUUUUUUUUUUUUUACAGACUACUCUUAGGUUUACCACCUGACUGGUAUUUUAAGGCACAGCUGGUAUUGGAGGCUGCCUGGCCGUGUAUUUUUCUCUGUAUAAACGGAGAUUACUCUGCAAUACCAGCACCGGCCAGUAGGGGCCACUGUGUAAGGAGAGAGGCAGGGAUAGGAAGUUACAGCAUCUCUCUACUCACUGAUCACGGGGGAGCAGCUACACAACACAGAGAAUCCAGACAACAGCUUCCAGUCUGCAGAGACAGACUACAGCUCAGGUAUGUGAAGGAUGGGGGGAAAGGAGACACUAGGGGACACUGAGACACUAGGGGACACUGGGAGAUGUGGGGAAACUGGGAGACAUGGGGACACUGAGACACAUGGGGACACAGACACAUGGUGACGCUGUGAGACAUAGGGAGACACAUUGGGACACGGAGACACUAGGGACACAGUGUCCCCAUGUCUCCCAGCCAGUGUUCCUAGUGUCUCAGUGUCGCCAUGACUCCGGGUGUCCCCUGGUGUCCAAGUAUCUGUGUCACCAUGUCUCUGUAUCCCCAUGUCUCUCAGUGUCCCCAUGUCUCCCAGUGUCCCCAUGUCUCCCAGCCAGUGUCUCAGUGUCCCCAUGUAUUCCAGGGUCCCUAUGUCUCCCAGCCAGUGUCCCUAGUGUCUCAGUGUCCCCAUGUCUCCCAGUGUCUGUGUCCCCAUGUCUCUGUGUCCUUAGUGUCUCCAUGUCUUCCAGUGUCCCCACAUGUCUCAGUGUCCCCAUGUCUCCCAGUGUCCCCAUGUAUAUGUCCACAAGUGCCCCAUGUCUCCCAGUGUCCCCAAGUGUCUGUGUCCCCAUGCCUCCCAGCCAGUGUCCCUAGUGUCUGUGUUCCUAUGUCUCUCAGUGUCCCUAGUGUCUUAGAUUCCCCAAAUGUUUAUCACCAUGGCUCCCAGUAUCCCCUAGUCUCCCAGUAUCUGUGUCCCCAUGUCUCUGUGUCCCCAUGUCUCUCAAUGUCCCCAUGUCUCCCAGUUUCCCCAUGACUCCCAGCCAGUGUCCCUAUGUUUCCCAGCCAUUGUCCCUAGUGUCUGUGUCCCAUGUCUCCCAGGGUCUGUGUCCCCAUGCCUCUAUGUCCUUAGUGUCCCCAUGUCUCCCAUUGUCCCCAAAUGUCUCAGUGUCCCCAUGCCUCUCUGUGUCCCCAAGUGUCUGUGUCCCCAAGUGUCUGUGUCCCCAUGCCUCCCAGCCAGUGUCCCUAGUAUCUAUGUUCCCAUGUCUCUUAGUGUCCCUAUGUCUCUUAGUGUCCCCAUGACUCCCAGCUAGUGUCCCAGAGUCCCCAUGUCUCCCAGUGUCCCUAUGUUUCCCAGCCAGUGUCCCUAGUGUCUCAGUGUCCCCAUGUCUCCCAGUGUCUGUGUCCCCAUGUCUCUGUGUCCUUUGUGUCCCAUGUCUCCCAGUCUCCCCAAGUGUCUGUGUCCCCAUGCCUCCCAGCCAGUGUCCCUAGUGUCUGUGUCCUCCUGUCUCCUAGUGUCUGUGUCCCCAUGUCUGUGUCCCUAGUGUCUGUCUCCUCAUUUCUCCCAGUGUCCCCAAAUGUCUGUGUCCUCGUGUCUCCCAAUGUCCCCAUGUCUGUAUUCACAAGUGCCCCCACAUCUCCGAGUGCCCCCACGUCUCCCAGUGCCCCCACGUCUCCCAGUGUCCCCGGAUCUCUCAGUGUCCCCAUGUCUCUCAGUGUCCCCUAAUAUCCUAGUGACACAGGACACACUGAGACAUGGGGACACUGGGAGAAAUGGGGACACAGACACUGGGAGACUAGGGGACUGGGCGACAUGGGGACAUUGACACUGUGAUGCAUAGGGACACUGAUGCCAGGCUGGCCUUCCAAUUCUUUGGACAGACAUGCCCCCUUUUUGGGCAUGUUCGCACCUUUUGGCAGUUCUGGUCACGUGAUUUGCGUCAGUGGCACACCCUUUUACCCCGCCCAUGGACACUGCUGUUAUGGGGUAUGGAUUUACUUGAAAGAUGAAAGCAUUAAUUAGAUAAAGAGAUUAGCAUAGAGUAUGUGUUUUCUUAUAGCUGCAUCCUUUGAGUUUCCCUCCAACUCCAACUCCAUCAGAUACAUGACUCUUUAGAGGUAUGACUGUUUUAGUGUUUUUGGUCGAUAAAAUUCUGUAAUUAGGCCCCAUCAUAAUUGUCAGAACCAGGCCCACUAGGCUCUUAAUCUGGCCCUGCCUUUAACUGAGUGUGUGACUGUCUGUCUGUAACUGAGUGUGUGACUGUCUGCCUGUAAAUGUGUGUGUGGGGCUGCAGGGAUUUUGUAGAACGGGACGGGGGUUUUGUAUUGGGACAGGAGUCUUUAUAAGGGUGGAUAAGCAGGGGAUUUGUGGAAGGGGGUUGCAGGGGUUUUGUAGAUGGGGCAGUACAGGAUUUGUAGAAGGGGCAGGACAGAGGUUUUGUAGGAGGGGCGGGGCAGGACAAGGGUUUUGUAGAAGGGGCUGACAGCGGUUUUGCAAAGUUUACAAAUUGUAAAACAAAAGAAAGAAAACCUUUAACAUUUUUUAUAGGUUUUUUUUUUUGGGUGGUGGGUGGGGGGGUGGGGGGUGCCAAGCACAGGAUCCGCCCCGGGUGCCAAAUGCUCUAGGUACGCCCCUGUCUCAGUGUCCCCAUUUCUCCCAGCCAGUGUCCCUAGUAUCUGUGUCCCUGGUGUCUCUCAGUGUCCGUAGUGUGCCAGUGUCCCUAGUGUCUCAGUGUUUCCUAGUCUCCCAAAGUCCCCUAGUCUCCCAGUGUCCCCUAGUAUAAAAGAAGAAAACUCAGGCACUCACUGUGAUAGAUUUAAGCAGGUUUAUUGGACACUGCAACGUUUUGACCUGUACACAGGUCUUUAUCAAGUUUCCAGUGUCCCCUAUAUAUCACAAUGUCCCCUAUGUAUCACAGUGUCUCAGUGCCACAUGUCUCCCAGUGUGCCUGGUGUCUCUCAGUGUCCGUAGUGUCUCAGUACCCCCUAACCUCCCAGAGUCCCCAUGUCUUACAGUGCCGCCAAGUGUCUCAGUGUCCAUUAGUAUAAAAUAAAAAAAUCUCAGGCACUCACUGUAAUAGAUUUAAGCAGGUUUAUUGGACACCACAACAUUUUGACGUGUAUGCAGGUCUUUAUCAAUUCUCCAGUGUCCCCUAUAUAUGACAGUGUCUCAGUGCCACAUGUCUCUCAGUGUGUGUAGUGUCCUUAGUGUCUCAGUGUCCCCUAGUCUCCCAGAGUCCCCAUGUCUUACAGUGCCGCCAAGUGUCUCAGUGUCCACUAGUAUAAAAUAAAAAAUUCUCAGGCACUCACUGUGAUAGAUUUAAGCAGGUUUAUUGGACACCUCAACGUUUUGACCUGUACCCAGGUCUUUAUCAAGUCUCCUGUGUCCCCUAUAUAUCACAGUGUCCCCAUGUCUCCCAGUGUCCCCAAGUGUCUGUGUCCUCAGGUCUCCCAGUGUUCCCUAGUAUCUGUAUCCCCAUGUCUCCCAGUGUUCUAAUGUCUCUCAAUGUCCCCUAGUGACAUGGGGACACUGGAAGACAUGGGGAUACAGACACUAAGGGACUGGGAGACAUGGGGACACAGACAUGCCCCCUUUUUGGGUAUGUUUGCCCCUUUCGGCAGUUCUAGUUAUGUGAUUUGCGUCAGUGGCCCACCCUUUUAACCUGUCCAUAGACUUCCUGCAUUACUGGACACUGCUGUUAGUGUGUAUGGAUUUAUUUGAAAGAUGAAAGUGUGAGAUUAGCAUAGGGUAUGUGUUUUCGUAUAGCCGCAUCCUAUGAGUUUCCCUCCAGCACCAUCUCCGCCAGAUACAUGACACUUAGGAGGUAGGACUGUUUUAGUGUUUUUGGUCAAUAAGAUUUUGUAAUUAGGCCCAUCAUAACUGUCAGCACCAGGCCCACUGUGCUCUUAAUCUGGCCCUGACCACAGUGAACGCAGAAAUAAUGUAUAGUGGUUUGGGUAAAAAAGAAAGUGUUACUUUUCUGGAAGUAAUAGAUCCACUUUAACUCAAUCAGAGUUAUUCAUUAAACUGGGAAUUACACCAAAAUUCAAUAAAUGGAAAUUGCACGUUAGGCCGACAUAACUGAUGAUUUCCUAACUACAACUGAUGUUCCAGCUCAGAUAAAAUGCUGGUUCUCCAUGUUUUCUGGUUAGUGUAAUAAUCCGAUCAGUGUCUAUAACCUGAAACGUGCGUGCGAGCGUGUGAGUGAUAUGGAAUGUUACACCAUGGUAUAGAUUACUGUGGGUCCAUUAGUGUCUGUAUAUUCGGAACAUCCUGUAAUGGUAUCUACCACCAAGGGACAUUAAAAGGACAUUAACAUAUAUGAGUGUAAAAGGGCAAUUUACAUAAUUUCUCUAAUAGAUUUCAUUUCAAAGCAGAACAUUAAAGGGAUAAAUUAUUGUGCGCUGUGCUCAGGGAGGCUGUGGAGUUCAGUACAGAUUUGGAAAGAUACUGAGUUCAGUUGAGUUCCAGGAAGCUGUUGAUCCAAUGAAGCAUUAUAAAGCACUGAGUUCAUGAGAUGCGUUAUAAAGCUCUGUGCAGUGGGAGGCUUAAUAGGCAGUCAUAGCUACUGCAUUUUGGUUCCAAAUGCUCUCCUUUUGGUCUCACCUUGGCAGGCCAGUUCAUACUUACAGUGACAGGAUAAUACAGGGUGUUUUAAUCGCAGGGCAUGGUGAAUUAAAGGACUCUAUAGUCACCAAAACAACUUUAGCUUAAUGAAGUAGAUUUUGUGUGUAGAUCAUGCUUCUGAAGUCUCACUGAUCAAUUCUCAUUUAGUCAUUUAGGAGUUAUAUCAGUUUUGCCAUUUAGUAAUUAAUUUUCUCAACCUGCAUGAAAAAAAAAGAGAGAGAUUAGAAAUUCUAAAUAAAACAGACUGUGCCAUAAAGGAAGUGUAAACUUUAGAUGUCAGUUUACAGGCAGUGCUUAGGAAAUGUUUUCUGGUUAAAAUCCUGAUAUAUUUUUUUUUGCUGACAAGUAACAUCAAUUUUCUUUUUAUAAAUUUCUUUAGGAUUUUAGACAUUCAUCGGGUAUUUAGAAACCUUGAAAAUGCCACGGGAUCCACAUAUACUGAUCCUCAAGUGUCCAGUUUUAACCUAAACUGCAGCUCUCAUUACAGUUCAUCUAAUCUCUUAGGCCUGGAGAUCAUCAUUACCUUGACCUAUGGACAAUGAAGAGACAAUGAGAUAUAUUUAGCAGGAACACAAUUCAUUCCACUGGGAACAACGGUGAGACAAGAUUAUUUGCACCAAUUACUUGUUUACAUUGUUACUCAACAAGAAGAUUGCAGGAGAACGUGUUUUCAUGAAAUACUCCACCAACAUUUUGUCUGACUGUAAAACCUCACAUUAUUGGACCUACCUUUUGUUGGGACACAUACCUCCUGCAAUGGGUGCUAGUUUAUCGAUUGGAGCAGUGGUGGCCAUUUCAUUUAACUGUGUUAUAGCCCUGCUUAUCAUUAUCUUAUUCCUCAUCUUAUGUAAGGCUUGUAAGACACCAUCCUGUCCUAGCUCAAGUCCAUCAUCAGAAAUGGAAAAUAAGAAUGAAGAGAAGUAUCUCUUGCAGCCGUAAGCCAAGGUAUCCUCUGUAAUAAAUAGGACUUAGAGUGCACUAACCAUUAACAGGCAACUCUAGAGGAAACAGAGUCCCAAUCUCCAGAAUAGGUUCCUAUCCCCCCUACCCCUCCCAGGUAUCACUGUGUCCCAAUACAAACAGACGUGCAGCAUCCGGGUGGAAUUACACUUCUAGCUCUCCACUUUUCUUUUUCAUCCAUCCUCUGUGAUGUUUAUGAUGCCAAUUGUUAGAAAAACCAAAUAAAUGGGAACAGAUUAACUUUCCUGCAGCACAUUAAUGGUAGUACAAAUGUAAUAAUAAGUUAUGAGAAACGCUUGGAGCAAAAGCAAGGCUGAAGCUCAUAUUGUUUGUUUUUCAAAUAACAAAAAAUGCAAAAGUUAUCUCGUAAUCUAUCUCAGUUAUGUCUUCCUUUCUUCAACCUCCAGUGGCUUAAAAUCUAGUCUGGAAAAGUUGGAUGAAAACAAAGUAUAUCUAGAACUAUGUUUGGAGGACAGAGAAAGGACAGUCGCUGCACUGUCAGACUGGGUCUGUGCUCAGUGUGGGUGACCUUGAAUAAACGCUGUAGAGCAAAACGGAAUGAAAGUGAGAAUGUUGGCUCCCAAAGUGAUGUCCUUUGGGAGAUGUGCAUUUUGUCCUUCUUCCAGAAGAGCCUGGAACAUUUGUUUCCUGCUUUCUACACCAAUCCCUUAACAGGUAACUACCGGAUAGCUUCCUCAGGAGGGUCUAGUGACAGUACCUUAAGAUUUCGGUAACACACCUUAGGAAAGGGACACAGGUCUUUGUGCACACCUAAGAAUUACUGUUUUUUCAGACUUCAAGUCCUGGGAGGUCUAACCUCUUGAAUUCAUGUAUGAAGGUACAACAUCCUCAUUGAUUAGAUGAAGUCUGAUAUUACAGAAGGCUCUAAAUUUUCUUGAACCAUUGGCAAGUAGAGAGUCAUUCCAGAUUAGCAUACUAUAGCUUGAGAUGGCAAAUAACUUUUAAGGCCUGACUAGUAGCAUAGGACCGUAAAUGUUAAGCCCUGAUAAAAUUUAUCUAUUCUACAGGAUUCAUUGUAGCAAAUUUACUUCCAAUUUAAAGUUGACCAAGACGAUGUCUCUGUAUUUGAAAGCUAACGAACACAGUAUUCUUCACUGCACUGUAUGUAUGCAGGUGUCCAGAAUCACAAGGAAGAUUAUAGCAAAGUGUAGACUAUGGUAGCCUUUGUCCUGUGGAAGAUAAAUGUGAUUCAGAAAAGCAAUAAUAUGGAAAUGUGGUUUAUACCUGUUUGGUGGGGAACCGCCUCUGUCACUGCUCUGUUCUUCACGUUAUUUUAGCACAAAAACUAAAUGUCUUCUAAAAUGGUCUGUAUAUGCAGGGAUCGCCAUUUUUUAAAAUCAAUGUUCAGGUAUUAUUCUAUACUGUGUGAUUACUCCUGUGCCAGUUAUUUUAAAUGCAUUGAACACUCAUAUAAUGACAUAUACACUGAUCAACCACAACAUUAAAUCACUGACAGGUGAUGUGAAUAAUAUAGGGGUAAUAGCUGAAGUAGAAGUGUGAUAUAUUAGCAAGUGACCAGUCAGUUCUUGAAUUUCAUGUGCUGGAAGCAGGAAAAAUGGGCAAGCGAAAAUAUCUUAGUGACUGUGACAAGGGCCAAAAAGUGAUGGCUAGAAAACUGGGUUAGAAUAUCUCCAAAAAGAAAGUCUUGUGGAGUGUUUCCAGUCUGCGGUGGUUAGUUCCUUUCAAAAGUGGCGCAAGGAAGGAUAACCGGUGAACUGGUGUCAGGGUCAUCUACGCCCAAGGCUCAUUGAUGCACAUUAGGAAUAAAGACCAGCUGCCUGGUCCGAUCACACAGAAGUUCUUUAGCUAAAAAUGCUGAAAGCCUUAAUGCCUGCCAUGAUAAAAAGUUGUCCGAACACUCAGUACAUCGCAUGUUUGCUUAGUAUAGGGCUGCAUAGCAGCGGAUGGGUCAGAGUGCCCAUGAUGACUCCUGCUCAUCACUGAAACCGCCAUAAAUGAGAACGCGAGCAUCAGAACUGGACCAUGGAAAAAGGUUGCCUGGUCUGAUAACUCUGAUAAAUUUUCUUUUAGAUCAAGUGGGUGGCUGGGUGCGUAUGCGAUGUUUACCUGGGGAAGAGAGGGCAGCAGGAAGGGCUAUGGGAAGAAGGCAGGCCAGCAGAGACAAUGUUAUGCUCUGGGAAACUUUGGGUCCUGGUAUUCAUGCCGAUGUUACCUUGACAUUUACCACCUACCUAGAGAUUGUUACUGACCACGUACUUCAUGGCAAUGGUGUUCCUUGAUGGCCUCUUUCAGCUCAAUAAUGCACCCUGCCACAUUGCACACAUUGUUCUGGUAAGGUUUGAAGAACAUGAGAAAGAGUUCAAGGUUUUGCCUUGGCCUCCAAAUUCUCAAUUCAAUUGAGCAUCUGUGGGUGUGUUGGAACAACCAACCUGCAACUGGCAGGACUUAAAGGAUCUGCUGCUAAUGUCUUGGUGCCAGAUACCACAGGACACGUUCAGAGGUCUUAAUGAGUCCAUGUUUCAACGCAUCAAAGCUGUUUUGGCAGCAUAAGGGGACCUACACGAUGUCAGGCAGGUGGUUUUAUGUUAUGGCUGAUCAGUGUAUGUUCAGAAUUUUGUAGCAUGAAAAGACACCACAAUUACUAUUAAAUCACUCUAGAACAUUCUAUCAACAGAAAUGUGUGCGUUUUAUAGACUAAUACUCUGCACCUUAAACAGAUCAGACUGUGUAUACUCUGAUCGUGUCUUACACUUUUUAUCAUGUAAUAAUUCUUUAAUAAAUUGACUUGAAACAUGUCCUGAAUUUUGAUGAGUUUGUAUGUUGAGUGUAAUUGUAAAAUUGUACAUUUAUUAAAAAU
This 28468-nucleotide long non-coding RNA is filed under the name Pelobates cultripes (western spadefoot toad). The record is from RNAcentral. Lineage: Eukaryota; Metazoa; Chordata; Amphibia; Anura; Pelobatidae.